GAUGAACGCUGGCGGCGUGCCUAAUACAUGCAAGUCGAGCGAACGGAUGAGAAGCUUGCUUCUCUGAUGUUAGCGGCGGACGGGUGAGUAACACGUGGAUAACCUACCUAUAAGACUGAGAUAACUUCGGGAAACCGGAGCUAAUACCGGAUGAUAUUUUGAACCGCAUGGUUCAAAAGUGAAAGACGGUCUUGCUGUCACUUAUAGAUGGAUCCGCGCUGCAUUAGCUAGUUGGUAAGGUAACGGCUUACCAAGGCAACGAUGCAUAGCCGACCUGAGAGGGUGAUCGGCCACACUGGAACUGAGACACGGUCCAGACUCCUACGGGAGGCAGCAGUAGGGAAUCUUCCGCAAUGGGCGAAAGCCUGACGGAGCAACGCCGCGUGAGUGAUGAAGGUCUUCGGAUCGUAAAACUCUGUUAUUAGGGAAGAACAUAUGUGUAAGUAACUGUGCACAUCUUGACGGUACCUAAUCAGAAAGCCACGGCUAACUACGUG
Molecule: ribosomal RNA, 497 nt
Filed under: uncultured bacterium
Lineage: Bacteria
Description: partial 16S ribosomal RNA
Rfam family: Bacterial small subunit ribosomal RNA
Source: RNAcentral